GAAAAGAACUUUGAAAAGAGAGUUAAAUAGUACGUGAAAUUGUUGAAAGGGAAACGAUUGAAGCCAGUCGUACUGACGGAAAAUCAACUUCUCGAGUGCUUGUCGUGGGUGAUGUUGAGCUUCACGGCCUUCGUUGCUUGCGUUAUGGUGCUUUUGAGGUGUACUUUUCCGUAUGGUAGGUCAACAUCGAUUUUGAUCGUCAUAAAAUGAUCGGAGGAAUGUGGCUCUGAUCUUGUAUUGGAGUGUUAUAGCCUUUGGUAGAUGUGACGAUUGGGAUCGAGGAUUGCAACGAAUACCCUUUGGGCUAUCCGUCUGACCUCUGAAAGUCGCUCUGGUGUUGAAAGCGUGCUUAUGACAUCUUAGUUGGCUGUCAAAAGGUUAGAACGCGAUUACAUUCGUU
This 400-nucleotide ribosomal RNA is filed under the name uncultured Glomeromycotina. RNAcentral's name for it is "eukaryotic LSU rRNA". Lineage: Eukaryota; Fungi; Glomeromycota. The record is from RNAcentral.